Molecule: ribosomal RNA, 113 nt
Filed under: Candidatus Aenigmatarchaeota archaeon
Lineage: Archaea; Nanobdellati; Candidatus Aenigmatarchaeota
Source: RNAcentral
GUUGGCGACCACAGCGGAGAGGGUACACCCGUUCCCAUUCCGAACACGGAAGUUAAGCUCUCCCGCGUUGUGACAAGUACUGCAACCGUGGGAACGUCACAUCGUUGCUUACC